This is a long non-coding RNA of Hypomesus transpacificus, 4202 nucleotides long. RefSeq lists it as uncharacterized. The record is from RefSeq and is a predicted model, not a curated record. Lineage: Eukaryota; Metazoa; Chordata; Actinopteri; Osmeriformes; Osmeridae. The transcript has 3 exons.
CCUAUUUUAGUUAUGUUAUGUUAUGUUACAAUAUAAUGAUUUGCUGAUUUAUUUUUACUUAAGAUAAAAUGUGCUAGCCUAAAUAAAUCUAUUUAAGUUAACUUUCAGGCCUGUGUGAUUAUUAAACCCUAUAUAUUUUUAUUUUUAGCUCUGACAUGCGUGUUGUAAGGAAAAGUUACAAAUAAAUGUUUGUUAUAGGAUACAAGUCAAUUGAAAUUAUGCUACAGAUUUUUGGAGUGGAUGUUGCACGUCAUAUGAUGAAUUGCAGAUAUAUGCAUUUGGUUGUAUCUAAUAUUCAAUGUUAUGAAUUGACAGACUUUUCAAAUCGACCAUUAUUCACAUAAUGUAUAACACAAUAUUCUAAACAAUGCUUUUAAUUUUGUUUUUUGGACGGCAUAGGCCUAUUAGAAAUAGACAAGAAAUAUACUAAUGCUAGACCGCCCUUUUAGCCAAUUUCUUAGAGGUCUAUUGUUAUAUUGUCUAACUCCUGACAAGGGAGAGACGGUUUCACAAUAUGCAAAGAUACGUGAUUGAUAACAGGCUUGCUGUUUUCCGCAAGAAUUGUCAGUCCAUGACACAAUACGUGAGUUAUUAGGGCAUAGAAGGGCAACCAUAAAUUUCCAGCGUCAGGCGAAAACCCUCUUUAUUGUCCAUAUGACGAAUGGGCUUCUGCACCAGACACCAAAUACUCGGCAUUACCCUUAAAUAGGAACACAUUUUUCGCGGCCAUAAUUCAUGAUAUUUAAAUAGAAAGUUUAAAAUGACCCCGUAUAUUUCAUAACGGCGACAUGUUUAUGAAUCACUCCCUGCAUGCACAUUAUUAUUUACAGCACGGGAGUUGCCGUGUUGGACUUUUAGUUCCACUGCCGAAUUAACUUUCCUUAGUCCAUCGAUGAAUGUUGUGUCGUUUUUGUGGAAUUGAGACAGGGAAAGUGUUCAGGGUGUAAAGUUUAGACACAAUUAUUCAGACAUUUCUGACCUUGUAUAAUGACAUUUAAUUAGACUGCAGUUUUGAAGCGGGAUGUUAUUUUAAACAGUAAAGUUUGUGCACCUGCGCGGACACAUUCUAGCAGUUCGGUUUGUUUUUAGGUAGUGUACAUUAAUGACCAACUAGGCUAUUGUUAUCAUAAACUUAAGAUGGAUUUACAUGAAGCUUAAUAUGUAGUUUUUUGGUUUAAGGCUACCGUUAGCGAAUGGCAGAUAGCUCUAAUAGGCUAGCCUACUUUCACUGACCAAGCUUAGCAUAAACCGCCGAGGAAGGCAGAAGUGUUCAACAUCAUAAUGAAAGCAUGCACGAACUAAUGCAUUACAAAAAGGUGCCAACCGAACACCAGUUAGGCUGGUUUAAAAAGAGCCCACGUAACCACAUUACCUGCAAAUAAAGAGCAAUAUGUUCCGAUGUAAAGAGACAGAUGUUAGAAUUCUGAACCCUUCUAAACGUAAUCCUUUGUUUGCUUAUAUCACAUUUAACAGACCACUGUUUCAGUAUAACAAAACAUGAAAUUGUGGGACAUGUCUAUACGAAAGGAAUAUGUGCGUUUGGCUGCUCAAGCAGGGUGCAGAGCUGAGCAAAGUAGAGAUACUUUUCCGUGUGGGAGGUUCCGAGCUGACGUCAUACUACGUUACGAGACCGAAACACGGAUAAGCCACUCAAAUAUAGCACCCAACCUGUGCUUACAGUUGUCUAGCUCAUUUAAAGUGGUAUUUAUACAAUUAUUUGAAAGUAUGUUGAACAACAAUGAUUCAACACAGAUAGAACACCACUUUUUUCCAUAGGCUUUGAGCUAGCCUAUCAUUCUUGGGUCAGCAUUUGACAUGUAUGACCAUACAAAAAUGUAAACAACAUGUUCACGUUGUUCAGCUAGAAAUCCACUCGAAGCCUAUGUUUUCACUCCAACCCGAGUUGUAACACAUGAUUCAGCUUGAUAGCAAGCUAGUUAUUAGAAUAAUGUUAUUAAGGUUGGAAUUGAGACCCACAUAGGUCUGUUGCUCUCCGAGAACAGGGUUGGUCAGCCCUGAGCUAAAUCGUUAGUUAUUUAUUGGUAGAUAUAGGCUACUGUAGCCUCUGAGACAGCCUGAUGAUACAAGUUGACCUGUAAUUCACCGAUUCACAACAACAAAAACGUUUAACACACCACUUUUCGUGAAGUUAUGCAUAUCCUAUAGGUUUGUUGCCUUACCUAUGUCCCAAAUAUUGAGUUAAAUAUCCCAGUGCGUUAUCCGCACGUGUUUCCGCUUUGGGUCAGCUGAGAACUACAAGCACGCGGAAGAAGUACAUUUGGAACGCCAAGUAGGCUACUAAAAGACAACCUAAAAACUGGUGUUGAAAGAUACUUCUUAGCGUAAUUUGUUUUAUUCCUUUAUUUCUCGGUAAGAAGGACUUCUGGUGGUUUUGCUCUGAUAACAAACUACUGGCACGCAGCAAGCAGAGUUGUCCUGUCAUCAGUUAUGGCACAAAUCGAAUCAUUGGUUGCAAUGAAUGGAACGCAAGUUUCCUAUAUUGGACAUGACUGUACAGAAAUCCCAGAGUUCCUUGGUGAAAGAUUUGGACACUUUGCCAGAAGGCUAGAUCUCAGCUUUAAUCAGCUAAGAUGGCGGUCACGUGAGGUGGGAAAUGACUGGUGGGAGUGUCAGGGAAGCCAUUUGGGGUGUGAUGGAUGGUAGCAGGCGAGGCUUGCCGGCCAUGUUCUCUGAUCUCCAGCAUGCAGUCGGUGUCUGCCAUUAUCGGAGGAGCAGAAGGGGGGAAAAAAAUAAAUGCCGUUGGAAGACAUUAUAUCUGAUUAAGCAGCUAGAUGAUGAACUAGGAUGCUGCAAAUAUUUAUCAUGUCAAAUGUAUCAGCCCCCUCUCUCACUUCUGGGAGACAAGGACAAGUUUGUGGAAUGUUUUUUUUCUUUCCCCCUUCUAUAUUACAACUAGGUGAGGCUUUCACUCAAACAUUUGAUUUGAAUUGAGAUUAGCAGAGAUUAAUUGAGUUGUUAAAUGUUCAGAAGUGUCUAACGAUGCAUGCAUUGCUAAAUGGUAAUAGAAAGGCUGCAUGUUUCACACACCAAACUGUACAGGAGGAUGUUUUGAAAGAUUGAUUGUUCGAAGUAGUCUGAAGUUUUCUGCCCAACUAAAGUUUCCACAUACUUUCCCAAAACUCUUUUGGUAAGGACUUACAGCUGAGCAGAUGUGGAUGUAGUUACUGCCUUCAGUGCAGAUACAAGGCCUUUGCUGUCAAUAAAGACUCCCACUGGUUAACGGGUCUGCGUAUGAAUUAUGAUGUCUCAUCUUGGCUUCAUUUGACCCUUCCCUCCUCUCACCGUAAGACUGCCAUGAUCCACCACCACAUUUCCACAAAACCUCCCUUUCAACUGACACAUCACAUCACCCAGUCAUUUUCCUCCUGUGUUUUAGGAGGUGUUUUAUUUUCAGAUACCCAUUUGCCAAGAGGGUGGCAUGCUUUCUGAUCCCCUGCAUGUUUGUUGAGGCAUUCUCGACCUGAUAAUAUGUACUUGUUAAGUUCGGAAUAGCUGAUCAACACCUCUUGUUGCGUGCAAUCUGUUCAUCAGAGGUGGCAAAUGUAGGCCAAGGGACUCUGGCAUUUGAUGUGGUUUGGUAUUCUAAUGUGGGCUUUGCACGAUCUCACUAACCUGGUCUUCCCUAGAGAGUGACGGCCCCAAGCCACAGAGAGAUGCUGUUAUGGAGAAGAGGGGGAGAUGUGGAAGGGUGUGGAGAACUGAUAGAAGAAGGGGUGUGGGGGGGGGGGGGUGUCAAGGAGGGAGAGGGGUGUAAGAUAUUGCUAAUUAGCAUGUGGAAGAAAAAUGGUUCUGACAGGAGAGGUAAAACCCAGUCAUGAUAAAUUUGGUGCCUUAACACUCCCCCCCUCCCCCCUUUGUCUGAGGAAGCCAACAGCUGUGGACUUAGAACUCCAUUCACCUAGCAGGAAAUCAAAAGAUUGUCCUGAGUUUGAUGUUGAGAGAAACUUUUGAGUUUGGGGGAAAAAGGGGUCACUGAUGUAUAGGGCAACGGGUUUAAGCUGUAAACCCUUCACAAAAGGUUCUAACUGAGUGAGUUUCCCUCUUCCUCUCAGGGUAAUCUUUGGAAAGUUCUAAGCACCUUCUCUGUGCAUGACUAAACCCAUUGAAGAAAAGAGAGAUAAAGAAACCCAAGGGCUUAAGACGAAACUUUCAUUUUCUGAUGAAAACAAAAUCUUCAGUAU